CACUAUAGAGCAAUUGUGAUCA
This 22-nucleotide unclassified non-coding RNA is filed under the name Mus musculus (house mouse). RNAcentral's name for it is "oocyte_clustered_small_RNA14176". The record is from RNAcentral. Lineage: Eukaryota; Metazoa; Chordata; Mammalia; Rodentia; Muridae.